AUGGCACUGCUAUUUCUAGAAGACCAGGAUAAUACUUUCUUUCCAAAUCUGUUCUUGAAGGCUCUUGUCUCACUGAAAUUGCUUUUCCUGUCUCCACCAGCUGGACACUCAAACUACAUUAUCUCAAGAGGGCCUAUUUUAGUUUUGCUAUCCAUCAUCUGGAGGGAAAAAAAAAUGUGAGGAUUCAUCCCGAUCUAACAGUUUUGUGUGUCUGCUUCAGAGAGAUAGAGAGAGAGAGGCUAUACCUGGUGACAUGCCUCCUGCAUCGGUGUCACCCGCGAGUGACUUCUCCAGAAGACACUCUCCCACAGACUUGCUUGAGGGGCAGUGAAAUUUGUGUGCACAUAUAUGUUCUCUGCAAUACUGAUCCCAGAGAAUCACUUAUUCCAGGUACCCUUCUCAGGGCUUCUCAUAGAUUAGUGCCCUUAAGCCUCACAUUCCACCAAUGAAGUAACUGUGAUUGUGGUGUCUGAGGUGACCCAUGAAGUUGUGUGGCUGAGAUGGUAACCAGAUAUUCUGGCCUAAGGGUGAUUCAGUCUUAACUACUACAGUCUACUCCCUUGAUGGUGGUAGAUUUUUCUUAAAUUUUAUUUUUAAAUUUAAUAAUGUUUUUUCAUUUUUUAGUUUUAUCAAAGUAUAGUUGAUAUAAUGUCAUGAUUUCUGUGGUCAGCAGAGUGAUUCAGUUAUACAGAUACACACAUCCAUUCUUUUUCAGAUUCUUUUCAGUUUCUGUUUUUAGGUGUGGGUUGGUGGGAUAUCAUAUAUAUUGGGAAAAAAAAUGUUUGCAACUUUACUUUUAAAAUAUUAAUAAUCUAAGCCCAAUGGCCUCUGUUAAAAAAUAAAUGAUUCUUAUUUACUUCUAAGCAAAAUUUUAGGCUUAUAAUUGUAAUUCUACAUCUAAAGCUGUCCAAUAUUUGAAUCCCUGUUAGCAGAGCAGCUGUCUUUGCCUCAGUGUCUUAGAUGAGAUUUGCAAAGCUAACAGGUUUGUAUUCAUCAUGUUUUGGAAUUUUGUUUUGGGACUUUCAAGUGUUUGGGAUUCUCAGAAUGGCAGAUGCAUACAGUAACCCAUCCAUUGUGUCCGUUCAAGUGUCUGUCUGUAGCCCAUUCUCAUGAGACAGAAGGGAUGGAAGCUAAAACAACAGACUUGGGUUGAGCUUAAGGACUUGCUGAAGAAAUAAGGCUUUGCUUUGUGAGCAUAGCCCAAAAAGCUGAUAAAAGUAAUCUGUUCUCAAAGCAAGAAUUUCCAGUGACUUAGAAUCAAAGUAAUACAACAUCAUAUUCCUUCGAUAAAUUAUCAGCUAAGUGUGCAUAUGACACAAUAGUAGGAGUCUCUGAGACUCAGUUUGUUAUUAAAUACCUGUUUGGGGGAACAUCAUCCAUACACCACAGAAUUUCCAUUUCAAACUCGAGCCGGUUGAAGAGAAGCUCAAGAAAAUAAUAUUGGAGACAACAGCAUUUCUAUCUCAGCUCUGCUCUUUGCAAACUGAAGGCCAUUAAGGAAAAGUCACCAAAUAACAGUGGUCUUAUAGCUAAAAUAGGCAAGAUAAGAGCUCUAUGUUAGGGUUCUCUUGAAGAUUCAUUUUUUUAAAAAAAGUAUGAAAAGUGAUUUUAGUGCCAGGCCUCAUACACAGAGGACACUCAGCUAAUGACAGUUAAUCAAAGGAAAUCACUAUAUAGCUAAUACAAAAAUCUUUACUUUCAGGCUUAUCCUUAAAACUUGAGAGAGGGUGGCAGAAUUAGCUCCCUAAUUAAUUGGUGAGCUAGUACUAAUUCUGUAUAGAAGGACAAUACACAGAUGGUCGGAAAUCCAAAUAAUUCUCUACAGUGCUCCCCACUGGCACUCAGUGUGCCAAACAAAAACAACCCCCCCCCCACAAAGAGUUGAUGUCAACAGAAAGCCAGUUUGAACAAGACCAUUUUAUCUCUAAACUCAGCAUUUAGAGCUUUUUCAUGUGCCCAUCAGUACUGGUUAGAUUAGUUAGGGAAUAGAGAGGGAAUGAAGUCUUGGACCAUCCAGGGGAGAGGACAUUAGCAAAUUCUGGAGGGAGCCCAGGUUGAUCAGGUGCCAAGAAUGGGGCAGAGAGGUUCCUGGGAGGUGUUAAGUGUCAGGGUAUCAAGUGUCAAAGCUAAUUUUUUUUUCCCACUUUGGACUCAAAAUUAUACUAUAUUUGCUGGAGUUUGGGGGGGGGGUGUGUAGGUGGAACAACAACCCAAAUCAUCCUGGGUGCUAGGAAGAACCCCAUUUAGAACCACCCCCAUUCCCCCCACCCCAAAAGCAUAAAAGCAAAGAAAACCAGCAUUGCUCAUUUUUGUAUAAAUACUUUUGAAUAAUUAACUUUUUUUCCCAUGAAAAUUUGCCAGUGCUAAAGUCAAAGAAAAUCAGUGUAUAUUCUCUGAGAUGUUUAUUAAUUUUUAAAGUGGAAAAUUAUCAGCUAGAAUACCAAAGAAAGGGCUUUAGGUGUUUAAAUUUGUAAAUAGGCAGAUGUUUGUUGGGGGUGAGAUUGUUCAGGAAGAGAAUUCUAUUUCAGAAAAAAAAAAUCACUUUGGAUAUUAUCUUCAAAACUAUAGUUUAUCAUUUUAUUGUAAAGAGUGUUUUCCAAUAAUUUUUCUCAUGAAAUAAACACGUUUUCCUCCCACAGAAGUGAACUUGAAUCCCCAGGAACAGAGGUUUUCAAAACCUCGUAACUGGGUAUUUUUUAGCAGGACCUGAAGGGUUAAGCCUAAAGCUACCACUAGGUGUCACCUUGUGAUCGCUUUUAGAAACACAGGCGCCUCCCCUGGUUCCAAACAGGAAGAGGCAUCUUCUAGGUUAAUUUCAGCUACUGUUCAUUUUCCUUAAAUAGAGAUUCUUACUCGGCACAUGUCAAAUCUUUGGAAUCUUUGGCUUUGUCUUACAGGUAUUUGCAACCAUUUAAACUUUUCACCCCACCACGCAGACCUCGCAGGAGGUAGAUUUUGAACCCAGGGGAGCUUGAUGUAAUGGGGCCACGUUGUGGGGAAAGAAAGAUCUUAGUCUUGUAACCCUUGUAAAUCUCCUUUAGUCCCCCCCCCUUCUAGGAUACCUGAAAUUAACUUUCAUGUUGAGAAGUAAUCUUGCUCUUUUGGAAAAAACCUGCAGCAGGGAAGCAAUUGAUGGCUACCCCUAGAUAAGUUCCAUAUAUGGAAAUUCUGGAUUUUCCACUGAUUUUCUUCAUCACAUCUCCUCAAUUCUCCUCCCGCUUUCUGUGUGCUCCCUUCUCAGGACAUGUCCUCAGUAGUCUUUUCUUUGAGUCAUUUAGUCAACUUGAAAGAAGUUUUACAAAUUGAAUGGUCCACAUUAGAGUGUUAAAUCAUUCAACAAUUUGCAAAUUCCGGAAAUACUUUGUUUGAAAAGAAGAGAGUUGUGGUGGGAGGCGGUGGGUGAGGAGGUGUGUGGGGGGGGGGCGGCUAGGGGGUUUGACCACAGAGAAUAGCAAUUCAGUACAAUUAAACUAGGUGGUGAUGGAGGAAAGAGGAUGGUUUGAAUCCCAGGGCAUGGUGAUUACUCUGUUCUGGAAAUAUUUCACAUGGCUACCUAGAUAAAAUAAGCUUUGUCUCUAGGCACAGACUGAUAUUUAGUCAUGGCUGCUAAUACAGAUGGAAGCUUCUUUUUUCCCUUGGGAUUGGAUAGAUUAACUCCACCUGG
Molecule: long non-coding RNA, 3664 nt
Filed under: Sus scrofa (pig)
Lineage: Eukaryota; Metazoa; Chordata; Mammalia; Artiodactyla; Suidae
Description: lncRNA (ENSSSCG00000061711.1)
Source: RNAcentral